AGCUGGUUCGAUGGCAGUGGAUGAUCAGAACUUAUUAACAUUAGUGUCAUUAAAGUUGGUAGAUAGUCCCUCACUGCUAAAUUUGGCUUAAA
Unclassified non-coding RNA from Colobus angolensis palliatus, 92 nucleotides. It matches the Rfam family "Y RNA". From Rfam's summary of the family: Y RNAs are components of the Ro ribonucleoprotein particle (Ro RNP), in association with Ro60 and La proteins. The Y RNAs and Ro60 and La proteins are well conserved, but the function of the Ro RNP is not known. NCBI's taxonomy places the organism in Eukaryota, Metazoa, Chordata, Mammalia, Primates, Cercopithecidae. The record is from Ensembl.